RNAcentral lists this ribosomal RNA (292 nucleotides) under uncultured bacterium. RNAcentral describes it as "partial 16S ribosomal RNA". It matches the Rfam family "Bacterial small subunit ribosomal RNA", at positions 505 to 796 of the family's 1533-position model. The record is from RNAcentral.
GUGCCAGCAGCCGCGGUAAUACGUAGGUGGCAAGCGUUGUCCGGAUUUACUGGGCGUAAAGAGCGCGCAGGCGGUCUUGUAAGUCGAAUGUGAAAGCCCCUGGCUCAACCAGGGAGGGUCAUUCGAUACUGCUUGACUCGAAGGCAGGAGAGGGAAGUGGAAUUCCGGGUGUAGUGGUGAAAUGCGUAGAUAUCCGGAGGAACACCAGUGGCGAAGGCGACUUUCUGGCCUGUUCUUGACGCUGAGGCGCGAAAGCUAGGGGAGCAAACGGGAUUAGAAACCCUCGUAGUCC